AUUGAACGCUGGCGGCAGGCUUAACACAUGCAAGUCGAGCGGGGUGAUGGUGCUUGCACUAUCACUUAGCGGCGGACGGGUGAGUAAUGCUUAGGAAUCUGCCUAUUAGUGGGGGACAACAUCUCGAAAGGGAUGCUAAUACCGCAUACGUCCUAAGGGAGAAAGCAGGGGAUCACUUGUGACCUUGCGCUAAUAGAUGAGCCUAAGUCGGAUUAGCUAGUUGGUGGGGUAAAGGCCUACCAAGGCGACGAUCUGUAGCGGGUCUGAGAGGAGGAUCCGCAACCCUGAGAGUGAGACACGGCCCAGACUCCUACGGGAGGCAGCAGUUGGGAAUAUUGGACAAUGGGGGGAACCCUGAUCUAGCCAUGCCGCGUGUGUUAAGAAUGCCUUAUGGUUGUAAAGCACUUUAAGCGAGGAGGAGGCUCUUUUGGUUAAUACCCAAGAUGAUUGGACGUUACUCGAAGAAUAAGCACCGGCUAACUCUGUGCCAGCAGCCGCCGUAA
This 503-nucleotide ribosomal RNA is filed under the name uncultured bacterium. RNAcentral's name for it is "partial 16S ribosomal RNA". It matches the Rfam family "Bacterial small subunit ribosomal RNA", at positions 30 to 523 of the family's 1533-position model. The record is from RNAcentral.